UGAACAAAGUGUCAUUGCAUCUUAUAAUG
Molecule: small RNA, 29 nt
Filed under: Bombyx mori (domestic silkworm)
Lineage: Eukaryota; Metazoa; Arthropoda; Insecta; Lepidoptera; Bombycidae
Description: ovarian small RNA-30641
Source: RNAcentral